This 70-nucleotide transfer RNA is filed under the name Sphingobium yanoikuyae. RNAcentral's name for it is "tRNA-OTHER". Lineage: Bacteria; Pseudomonadati; Pseudomonadota; Alphaproteobacteria; Sphingomonadales; Sphingobiaceae. The record is from RNAcentral.
GGCUGUUGAAUUAUCAGGCGAAAAUGCUUCCACGGCUGAAACACGGGUUCGAUUCCCGUAGGGGUCACCA